Non-coding RNA from Stegodyphus mimosarum, 73 nucleotides. The record is from Rfam. Lineage: Eukaryota; Metazoa; Arthropoda; Arachnida; Araneae; Eresidae.
GCCUUCGUGGUGUAGUGGUCAGCACGCUCGGCGCUUAUUCGAGAGAUCCCUGGUUCGAGUCCCGGCGAGGGCA